CUUGGGCUGUUGGUGGUCGGUCGUGCAGAGCUCCUCUUCUUCUUCGGAUUUGAUUUUCAAUUGCGGAACGUCCUUUGAGUGCUUCACACAUUUCUCGCUUGCCCAUUGAUUACCAUACUGGGCUCUUUUACCGAACAAAGGAAACGUGCACAAAGGAAUUGCAGCACACAUUGAGGACCGUGUGCAAAGCUGAUUUUGCAGAUAAAAGCCAAAAGUUUCACAGUGAAAGUUGUCGCAAACUUCAAUGGAAGACACAACUCAGCCGGCAGCAGAGAGACGCACAC
This is a long non-coding RNA of Drosophila mojavensis, 284 nucleotides long. RefSeq lists it as uncharacterized. The record is from RefSeq and is a predicted model, not a curated record. Lineage: Eukaryota; Metazoa; Arthropoda; Insecta; Diptera; Drosophilidae. The transcript is spliced from 3 exons.